This is a non-coding RNA of Schistosoma rodhaini, 45 nucleotides long. The record is from Rfam. NCBI's taxonomy places the organism in Eukaryota, Metazoa, Platyhelminthes, Trematoda, Strigeidida, Schistosomatidae.
AUUCAGUUGAAGAGUCCUAAAUAAGACAAAACGCACAUCCUGGAU